GACGAACGCUGGCGGCGUGCUUUACACAUGCAAGUCGAACGGUGAAGGUGGAGCUUGCUCCGCCGGAUCAGUGGCGAACGGGUGAGUAACACGUGGGCAACCUGCCCCUAACUUUGGGAUAACUACUCGAAAGAGUAGCUAAUACCGGAUAUGAAGUCUGUAGGCAUCUAUGGAUUUGGAAAGUUUUUCGGUUAGGGAUGGGCCCGCGGCCUAUCAGCUUGUUGGUGAGGUAGUGGCUCACCAAGGCGACGACGGGUAGCCGGCCUGAGAGGGCGACCGGCCACACUGGGACUGAGACACGGCCCAGACUCCUACGGGGAGCAGCAGUGGGGAAUAUUGCGCAAUGGGCGAAAGCCUGACGCAGCAACGCCGCGUGCGGGAUGAAGGCCUUCGGGUUGUAAACCGCUUUCAGCAGGGAAGAAGCGAAAGUGACGGUACCUGCAGAAGAAGCACCGGCUAACUACGUGCCAGCCGCCGCCGUAA
This 483-nucleotide ribosomal RNA is filed under the name uncultured bacterium. RNAcentral describes it as "partial 16S ribosomal RNA". It matches the Rfam family "Bacterial small subunit ribosomal RNA", at positions 28 to 523 of the family's 1533-position model. The record is from RNAcentral.